RNAcentral lists this ribosomal RNA (274 nucleotides) under uncultured bacterium. RNAcentral's name for it is "partial 16S ribosomal RNA". It matches the Rfam family "Bacterial small subunit ribosomal RNA", at positions 523 to 796 of the family's 1533-position model. The record is from RNAcentral.
AUACGGAGGGUGCAAGCGUUAUCCGGAAUCACGGGGUUUAAAGGGUGCGUAGGCGGCCUGGUAAGUCAGAGGUGAAAUACACGAGCUUAACUGGUGAAUUGCCUUUGAAACUAUCAAGCUAGAAUUAUGUUGAGGUCAGCGGAAUGAGUCAUGUAGCGGUGAAAUGCAUAGAUAUGACUUAGAACACCAAUUGCGUAGGCAGCUGGCUAGGCAUUAAUUGGCGCUGAGGCACGAAAGCGUGGGGAGCGAACAGGAUUAGAAACCCUAGUAGUCC